AGCAGCCGCGGUAAUUCCAGCUCCAAUAGCGUAUAUUAAAGUUGUUGCAGUUAAAAAGCUCGUAGUUGAAUUUCGGGAUCAAUUAGUCGGUCGUGCCUCUGGUACGUACUGGUUUUAUUGGUUCCUCCCUUCUGACGAAACAUGAUGUCAUUAAUUUGGUGUCGUGGAGAAUCAGGACUGUUACCUUGAAAAAUUAGAGUGUUUAUAGCAGGCUAACGCUUGAAUACAUUAGCAUGGAAUAAUGAAAUAGGACGUUCGACCCUAUUUUGUUGGUUUCUAGGAUCGACGUAAUGAUUAAUAGGGAUAGUUGGGGGCAUUAGUAUUCAAUUGUCAGAGGUGAAAUUCUUGGAUUUAUUGAAGACUAACUACUGCGAAAGCAUUUGCCAAGGAUGUUUUCAUUAAUCAAGAACGAAAGUUAGGGGAUCGAAGACGAUCAGAUACCGUCGUAGUCUUAACCAUAAACUAUGCCGACUAGGGAUCGGAUGAUGUUAAUUUUUAUGACUCAUUCGGCGCCUU
This 516-nucleotide ribosomal RNA is filed under the name uncultured Glomus. RNAcentral's name for it is "SSU rRNA". It matches the Rfam family "Eukaryotic small subunit ribosomal RNA", at positions 569 to 1089 of the family's 1831-position model. Lineage: Eukaryota; Fungi; Glomeromycota; Glomeromycetes; Glomerales; Glomeraceae. The record is from RNAcentral.